Molecule: ribosomal RNA, 273 nt
Filed under: Triticum aestivum (bread wheat)
Lineage: Eukaryota; Viridiplantae; Streptophyta; Magnoliopsida; Poales; Poaceae
Description: partial small subunit ribosomal RNA
Source: RNAcentral
AUGAGGAGCACACAAAUCCUAUUCCUGGCAUUUGCCUUCUUGAUGCUAUCGUCAGCUAUGGCAACUUCUAAGCCAGUAUGCAACCAUAUCCUCAAAAAGGGACAUUGUAACAACAAUGAUUGCCGAGCGUACUGCAAGAAGUUCAUCCCCCCACCCGGUGGCCCAUCUCCCAAGUACAUACCCGAGGGAUGCCAAUGUUAUACAAUUAUUGGAUUUCAAAAUGAUAUAAUUUCAAAUCCAGUUUCAAUCAUCAUAUCAAGAAGUAAAAUAUAA